UAUUGUUCGCCAGAGAACUACAAGCGCUAGCUUAAAACCCAAAGGACUUGGCGGUAUCUCACACCCACCUAGAGGAGCCUGUUCUAUAACCGAUAAUCCCCGUUAAACCUCACCACCUCUUGCCAUUACCGUCUAUAUACCGCCGUCGUCAGCUCACCCUAUGAAGGAUAAAAAGUAAGCAAAAUGAAUAAAACUCCAAAACGUCAGGUCGAGGUGUAGCAAAUGAAGUGGAAAGAAAUGGGCUACAUUUUUUUACAAAAACAUAUACGAAUGGUAGACUGAAAAACACCUAAAGGUGGAUUUAGCAGUAAGAAGAGAUCAGAACACUCUUCUGAAAUCGGCCCUGAGAUAAGCACACACCGCCCGUCACUCUCCUUAAUAAACAACCUACUUUUCUAUAAACACACUCUCUUAAUAAGAGGAGGCAAGUCGUAACAUGGUAAGUGUACUGGAAAGUGCACUUGGAAU
Molecule: ribosomal RNA, 468 nt
Filed under: Sphyrna lewini (scalloped hammerhead)
Lineage: Eukaryota; Metazoa; Chordata; Chondrichthyes; Carcharhiniformes; Carcharhinidae
Description: partial 12S small subunit ribosomal RNA
Rfam family: Bacterial small subunit ribosomal RNA
Source: RNAcentral